RNAcentral lists this unclassified non-coding RNA (249 nucleotides) under plant metagenome. Its description in RNAcentral is "partial contains small subunit ribosomal RNA, internal transcribed spacer 1, and 5.8S ribosomal RNA". The stretch from base 201 to 249 matches the Rfam family "5.8S ribosomal RNA", at positions 1 to 49 of the family's 154-position model. The record is from RNAcentral.
UCUCCGUAGGUGAACCUGCGGAGGGAUCAUUACAGAGUUCAUGCCCUACCGGGUAGAUCUCCCACCCUAUGUUAUUAUUACUUUGUUGCUUUGGCGGGCCGUUAGGCUCCGGCCCGACUACCGGCCCCGGCUGGUAAGCGCCCGCCAGAGGACCCAAAACCCUGAAUAUUAGUGUCGUCUGAGUACUAUAUAAUAGUUAAAACUUUCAACAACGGAUCUCUUGGUUCUGGCAUAGAUGAAGAACGCAGC